UUCCCUCUAUUCCAUUGGGUUGGGAAGCCAUUGCUGACAGACGGAUCGGACAAAGUACAAUUUAGCCACUGUUACGGGUUCAGAUGAUAUGUUGAAGAUCUAACCUCAGGUAUCUCAGAAUAGAUGUACUCUCAAAAACCUGGACCCGGGUGACUGAGAAGACACGCAGACAAUUAUACCAGCACAAGAAACCCUGGAAACAAUCCAAACGUUCAUCAUCGGCCAGAGUAAAGUAUGUUUACACAAUCGGAUUCUCUCUGGUGGUGAAAUGAAUGAGCGAGAGCUAUACAUGUAUAUGUAAAUGAGUCUUGCAAACAGAAGACGAUAGACAAUGUAGAAUAAAGAUAUGCAAACUGCAGGAGAGUAUUUCUAAUCUUCUCAUUUUUAUAAAGUUCAAAAACAGAAAAUAAACAAUGAUUUUUAGGGAUAUAUACAUAUGGCAUAAAACUAAUAUUUAGAAAGAGAGAACAAUGAGCCCCAAAUUUGGGAUAAUACUUAGCUCUGAGGCAGGAAAGAGACAAGAAGGUGGUCGAGAAGGAUUAUAGGGGGCUUCAACUAUUUUGAAAAUAGCUUAUUUAUUAAGCUCGCUGGUGGAUAAACAAGUGUUCACUAUAGUAUGGUUGGGUUUUGUUUUUUUUUUUUUUACAUGAAGUAAAUG
This is a long non-coding RNA of Herpailurus yagouaroundi (jaguarundi), 658 nucleotides long. RefSeq lists it as uncharacterized. Lineage: Eukaryota; Metazoa; Chordata; Mammalia; Carnivora; Felidae. The transcript has 2 exons. The record is from RefSeq and is a predicted model, not a curated record.